This is a long non-coding RNA of Lolium perenne, 642 nucleotides long. RefSeq lists it as uncharacterized. Lineage: Eukaryota; Viridiplantae; Streptophyta; Magnoliopsida; Poales; Poaceae. The record is from RefSeq and is a predicted model, not a curated record.
UUGUCGCUGGCCAAUUCGGAGGGUGAGACCUCCCUAUUGCCUCGGAAUCGCGAAGCGGUAGGUCGCGCAGCCUCUUCUCCGCUCGAAAGCGACAUUCCCUUGCCGAGCCUCGACAGAGCCGUCUCCGACCUGAAGCUAGCUGGCGGCGGCGCGACCUGCAGCAAUCCGCCGCCGGUGGCAGUGAUGGGGAGGAAGACCGUGAGGGAUCCGUGGAAGAUGUUUGUGGAGAUGCAAAGGAACAGCCAUCUCCAGAUCAUUAGCGAUAUUGUCCGAUCAAUUGCACUGCCCGUCAGCGGCCAAGCUCGAGCUGCUGCCAUAAUCUUCUCAUCAAUCGAGCUCAUCUGCUCAGCAGCUCAUCUGCUACUGGAACAUAAAUAGACACGAGAAAGAAGCUUGUGUCUCAUUUUAAUAUAUAAAUACUGUGUUUUAUGUUUGUACGUAACUUUAUAUUGUUCAAACUCAACCAAACAUUUAAUUCCGCCGCUUGUACAUCCAAACAUGAAUUGUAAUUGGAGGCUACAAUUUGAUUCUAACAACAUCUACCAUGCACAUCCAAACGGCGGAAUUGAAAUGAAGUCAUUUCCUUUCCAUCUUGGUUUUGGUAUUCCAUUUAAAUUCAAUUCCAAGAUUCAAUUCUAUGCA